Drosophila subobscura is the source of this 249-nucleotide long non-coding RNA. RefSeq lists it as uncharacterized. The record is from RefSeq and is a predicted model, not a curated record. NCBI's taxonomy places the organism in Eukaryota, Metazoa, Arthropoda, Insecta, Diptera, Drosophilidae. The transcript is spliced from 2 exons.
UUUUGACAUUUAAAAUUCUGUCUGACAGCCUGGCUCUAAGUACAGUCCAUCAAUGUGUAUUUCGAUGCGGAAACAUGUACUGUUGGGAAUCUUUAUCUGGCUGCUGGCUGAAGUCCAGCCUAAUUCUUGCCAUCCAAUUGUGAAAAAGGACAGCGCUGACUUUGAGAAAUGGCCGCCCCCAACUGUUGCAAGGUUAUAAUAAUACGCUAUGAAUAUAAUUUUGCUUAGCCUAUUAAAACUCUAAAAAUU